Molecule: ribosomal RNA, 719 nt
Filed under: Penicillium expansum
Lineage: Eukaryota; Fungi; Ascomycota; Eurotiomycetes; Eurotiales; Aspergillaceae
Description: eukaryotic LSU rRNA
Rfam family: Eukaryotic small subunit ribosomal RNA (bases 1-173)
Source: RNAcentral
UGCACACACCGCCCGUCGCUACUACCGAUUGAAUGGCUCAGUGAGGCCUUCGGACUGGCUCAGGAGGGUUGGCAACGACCCCCCAGAGCCGGAAAGUUGGUCAAACUCGGUCAUUUAGAGGAAGUAAAAGUCGUAACAAGGUUUCCGUAGGUGAACCUGCGGAAGGAUCAUUACCGAGUGAGGGCCCUCUGGGUCCAACCUCCCACCCGUGUUUAUCGUACCUUGUUGCUUCGGCGGGCCCGCCUCACGGCCGCCGGGGGGCAUCCGCCCCCGGGCCCGCGCCCGCCGAAGACACACAAACGAACUCUUGUCUGAAGAUUGCAGUCUGAGUACUUGACUAAAUCAGUUAAAACUUUCAACAACGGAUCUCUUGGUUCCGGCAUCGAUGAAGAACGCAGCGAAAUGCGAUAAGUAAUGUGAAUUGCAGAAUUCAGUGAGUCAUCGAGUCUUUGAACGCACAUUGCGCCCCCUGGUAUUCCGGGGGGCAUGCCUGUCCGAGCGUCAUUGCUGCCCUCAAGCACGGCUUGUGUGUUGGGCUCUCGCCCCCCGCUUCCGGGGGGCGGGCCCGAAAGGCAGCGGCGGCACCGCGUCCGGUCCUCGAGCGUAUGGGGCUUCGUCACCCGCUCUGUAGGCCCGGCCGGCGCCCGCCGGCGAACACCAUCAAUCUUAACCAGGUUGACCUCGGAUCAGGUAGGGAUACCCGCUGAACUUAAGCAUAU